Molecule: ribosomal RNA, 253 nt
Filed under: uncultured bacterium
Lineage: Bacteria
Description: partial 16S ribosomal RNA
Rfam family: Bacterial small subunit ribosomal RNA
Source: RNAcentral
UACAGGGGGGGCAAGCGUUGUUCGGAAUUACUGGGCGUAAAGGGCUCGUAGGUGGCCGACUAAGUCAGACGUGAAAUCCCUCAGCUUAACUGGGGAACUGCGUCUGAUACUGGAUGGCUUGAGUUUGGGAGAGGGACGCGGAAUUCCAGGUGUAGCGGUGAAAUGCGUAGAUAUCGGGAGGAACACCGAUGGCGAAGGCAGCUCGCUGGGACGGUACUGACGCUGAGGCGCGAAAGCGUGGGGAGCGAACAGG